RNAcentral lists this ribosomal RNA (731 nucleotides) under uncultured Ascomycota. RNAcentral describes it as "LSU rRNA". It matches the Rfam family "Eukaryotic large subunit ribosomal RNA", at positions 399 to 1146 of the family's 3401-position model. The record is from RNAcentral. Lineage: Eukaryota; Fungi; Ascomycota.
GUGAAAUUGUUGAAAGGGAAACGCUUGAAGUCAGUCACGUUUGCUUGGAUUCAGCCUUACUUCGGUUUGGUGCAUUUCCUCGCCGACGGGCCAGUGUCCAUGUUGUUUGCCGGAGAAGGGGUGAAGGAAUGUGGCUCCUUCGGGAGUGUUUAUAGCCUUCAUUCGCAUGCGGGGAGCGAUAUGGAGUGAUACAGCACGCUUUCUUGUGGUGCUUGUACUGGCAUAAUGGCUUUAAACGACCCGUCUUGAAACACGGACCAAGGAGUCUAACAUGUCUGCGAGUGUUUGGGUGGAAAACCCGAGCGCGUAAUGAAAGUGAAUAGCUGGGAACCCCUUUGGGAGGCACCGGCACCCCGAGCUGACCUUUUGUGACGCAUCGGAGGUAGAGCAUAUAUGUUGGGACCCGAAAGAUGGUGAACUAUGCCUGAAUAGGGCGAAGCCAGAGGAAACUCUGGUGGAGGCUCGUAGCGAUUCUGACGUGCAAAUCGAUCGUCAAAUUUGGGUAUAGGGGCGAAAGAUUAAUCGAACCAUCUAGUAGCUGGUUCCUGCCGAGGUUUCCCUCAGGAUAGCAGAAACUCGUAUCAGUUUUAUGUGGUAAAGCGAAUGAUUAGAGACCUUGGGGAUGAAACAUCCUUAAUCUAUUCUCAAACUUUAAAUAUGUAAGCUCAGGAUGCUUGCUUAAUUGAAGCACCUGUAAAUGAGAGUUUCUAGUGGGCCAUUUUUUGUAAGCA